UCGCGCAUGGUGGAUUCACAAUCCACUGCCUUGAUCCACUUGGCUACAUCCGCCCC
Molecule: transfer RNA, 56 nt
Filed under: Apocynaceae sp. ITV3733
Lineage: Eukaryota; Viridiplantae; Streptophyta; Magnoliopsida; Gentianales; Apocynaceae
Description: partial tRNA-His
Source: RNAcentral